UUCUUGGAGAGUUUGAUCCUGGCUCAGAGUGAACGCUGGCGGCGUGGAUUAGGCAUGCAAGUCGAGCGAUCCCGCAAGGGAUAGCGGCAAAAGGGUGAGUAACACGUAAGUAAU
This 114-nucleotide ribosomal RNA is filed under the name Candidatus Omnitrophota bacterium. RNAcentral describes it as "Candidatus Omnitrophica bacterium (sediment metagenome) partial 16S ribosomal RNA". It matches the Rfam family "Bacterial small subunit ribosomal RNA", at positions 1 to 125 of the family's 1533-position model. The record is from RNAcentral. Lineage: Bacteria; Pseudomonadati; Candidatus Omnitrophota.